RNAcentral lists this ribosomal RNA (420 nucleotides) under uncultured bacterium. RNAcentral describes it as "bacterial SSU rRNA". It matches the Rfam family "Bacterial small subunit ribosomal RNA", at positions 356 to 773 of the family's 1533-position model. The record is from RNAcentral.
GAGGAAUAUUGCGCAAUGGACGAAAGUCUGACGCAGCCAUGCCGCGUGCAGGAUGAAGGCCCUAUGGGUUGUAAACUGCUUUUGUACGGGAAAAAACCCUUCUACGUGUAGAAGGCUGAUGGUACCGUAAGAAUAAGCACCGGCUAACUCCGUGCCAGCAGCCGCGGUAAUACGGAGGGUGCAAGCGUUAUCCGGAUUUAUUGGGUUUAAAGGGUCCGCAGGCGGACCGUUAAGUCAGUGGUGAAAGCCCACAGCUCAACUGUGGAAUUGCCAUUGAUACUGGCGGUCUUGAGUAUGUAUGAAGUUGGCGGAAUGUGUGGUGUAGCGGUGAAAUGCUUAGAUAUCACACAGAACACCGAUUGCGAAGGCAGCUGGCUAAUACAUAACUGACGCUGAGGGACGAAAGUGUGGGGAUCAAAC